Molecule: long non-coding RNA, 1399 nt
Filed under: Mus pahari (shrew mouse)
Lineage: Eukaryota; Metazoa; Chordata; Mammalia; Rodentia; Muridae
Description: lncRNA (MGP_PahariEiJ_G0012393.1)
Source: RNAcentral
GCCGCUGUCGCCGAGCGUCGGAGCCCGAGGGGCCGCGGCCGCGCGCCGCGGGGGGAGGAGACGGUCUGGAGUCCCCCCGCUGCGCCGGGGUUGGGGAGACGGAGGACUGCAGCGCCCCUUGGGGCUUCUGAGGCGCCCAGGUAACCUCACCUGGCCGCCAGUCUCCCGCAGGAGGAACAGACACGUUGGUUCCACACCGAACCUAUUAACAGCUCAACUUCAAAUAUUUGGCAGAGGUGGGAUUGCUGUUCACUAAGGUUAUAUGAGCCAGCUUGGUUACUAAAUGUGAAAAUGCAUAUUUUUCAGCCUGUGGCAAAGUGGCAACGUCAGGGCAGAAGGAUGUAACUGAUAAAAGCUGCUCACACCUAAGUAGCCAGGAAACAGAGAGAAAUGGAGACAAAUAUAUGAUACAGCCUACCAAGACACAUUCCUAGUGACCUUCCCAUCUUUGGCUUUCCAACAAUUCACAAGAACACCCUUAAUUAUGAAUUCAUCAACAAAUCAAUUAAGUCAAAGCUCCCAUGAUGUAAUCACUUCCCUAUAUCCUCCCGUUGAACAUCCUCACCAUUGAAAACCAAGCCUUCAACACAUGAGUCUGGGCACAGUAAGUCAUAUCGAAUACAUUGAAGAUGUAAAUUUUAACGGUUGAAAAUGACAAGCAUAUUUUGUCUGUGAAAGUCAGCAAAAGGGAAUAUGGAAGAGAAAGCAUACUAAAGCUAAGGGUUCUGGAACGCAUAUAUGCUCUCCCUAUCAAUGUGGAGAGUGAGACAAGGAAGGCUUAAGUUCAGGGCCAGCCUGGACUAUGUAAAGUAUGCUACCAUUGAUUAUAUAAUCCAACUCCAGCAUCACAAAAAGUAGAGUAAAUACAAGAAAAAAAUGACUUUAGAAGUAUCAAGAUAUUAUGACUCAUUCAUAUGAUUUGUGCAGUUGAUUUAGUAUGGCUUAUGAUUUAGUAAUCAAAAUGGAUGAAGAUGAUAUAUAUACAUUAAUAAGAAUAAAUAUGUGAGACUGAACACAGAAUGUCCACCAGACACUGGGCAGUAAUUAGAUUCAACUCUCGUAAAAAUGUUCAACAGGAAAAAAAAAAAAACCAUAACUUUGCUUUAUACUUGGAUACUUUCAGUCAUACAGGUAAUGGAAUAAAAUGAAAGGAAAAUGCAGAUGGGAUCUGAGGGCCAGCCUCCUAUUAUACUAUUAUAUUGUAGUGCAGAAAAGAAGAAGAGUAUGUUGUAUUUGAUGUUUUCUGAGGUUUUGUUUUUGUUUUUGAAGCAUCUGUUGUUUUGCAGAUGCUGUUAAAUGUUGAACAUGACACAAUAAAAAGAAACAGACAAAAGUUAUUGUCCUUGUGGAACUAGUAUGAAGAAAAAUCAGAUGUUAAUAAAAAUAAUCAUUCACAAGA